This 67-nucleotide transfer RNA is filed under the name Marmota monax (woodchuck). RNAcentral's name for it is "tRNA.Val". The record is from RNAcentral. Lineage: Eukaryota; Metazoa; Chordata; Mammalia; Rodentia; Sciuridae.
GGUUCUGGCUCAGCGGUAGAACACUCGCCUCACACAUGCGAGGUCCUGGGUUCGAUCCUCAGCACCA